ACAUCAACCUGCAGCAGUAUAGACCGCAUAGAUCACGCAGCAGUAAGCAUACCACGAAAAAUAGACAACAUAAAACAAAAUAUUAACCAGAUGAGGGAACAUCAUUGCCGGGGCAAGAGUUGGCCAGUAUGAACACUGAAUGCUGACCACUUGCUUAGCUUCAGCUAAGCCGAGCUAAAGAAACAUGAGAAACCUCGGCCCUCAUGUCCGGACGACUGGCAGUCACAGCUACACCUGAACGGUACCGUUGAUAUGAAGCAGACCGCGUCGGUGUGAGGAAUAGCCCCAGUUUGCGAGACAGGCGAGAGCGCUGGGUGCUUACUGGUGUGGAAACAUCAUAAACAACACCAUAAUCACCAUGAUGAUGCACCGCUCGGCACCACAUAG
Molecule: long non-coding RNA, 387 nt
Organism: Cryptotermes secundus
Lineage: Eukaryota; Metazoa; Arthropoda; Insecta; Blattodea; Kalotermitidae
Exons: 3
Source: RefSeq, a predicted model, not a curated record